AGAAGUGUCAUUGAUGUUUCUUUACUUGCUGCUAUAGCUGCUCUUGUCUCCUUGGGAGAUCAGCCUCUUACUGAAACGGUUAUACAUGAUAUCCCAGUUGCCAUUACCUUUGGAUUCUUUGCUGAUGGAGGGCCAGUAGUCGUGGAUCCAAGCGAACGAGAGGAAGCUCUUAUAAAGA
Molecule: long non-coding RNA, 178 nt
Organism: Selaginella moellendorffii
Lineage: Eukaryota; Viridiplantae; Streptophyta; Lycopodiopsida; Selaginellales; Selaginellaceae
Exons: 3
Source: RefSeq, a predicted model, not a curated record